GCCGCGGUAAUUCCAGCUCCAUUGGCGUAUAUUAAAGUUGUUGCGGUUAAAAAGCUCGUAGUUGGAUCUGUGUAUCGGACGGUCGGUUCGCCGCCCGCGGUGUUUAACUGACCGGUCCGGACGUCCUGCCGGUGGGACCUCGGUUCGCGCCGGGGCCCGUAACUCCCUCCGUGCUGCUCUUAACCGAGUGGUACGGUGGGCCGGCACGUUUACUUUGAACAAAUUUGAGUGCUCAAAGCAGGCCUUAUGUUGCCUGAAAACUGUGUGCAUGGAAUAAUGGAAUAGGACCUUGGUUCUAUUUUGUUGGCUUUUCUGAACUCGAGGUAAUGAUUAAUAGGGACAGACGGGGGCAUUCGUAUUGCGACGUUAGAGGUGAAAUUCUUGGAUCGUCGCAAGACGAACCGAUGCGAAAGCGUUUGCCAAGAAUGUUUUCGCUAAUCAAGAACGAAAGUUAGAGGUUCGAAGGCGAUCAGAUACCGCCCUAGUUCUAACCAUAAACGAUGCCAGCCAGCGAUGCGCUGAAGUUAAUUUAAUGACUCGGCGCGCAGCUUCCGGGAAACCAAAGCUUUUGGGUUCCGGGGGAA
RNAcentral lists this ribosomal RNA (584 nucleotides) under Lachlania talea. Its description in RNAcentral is "SSU rRNA". It matches the Rfam family "Eukaryotic small subunit ribosomal RNA", at positions 573 to 1122 of the family's 1831-position model. The record is from RNAcentral. Lineage: Eukaryota; Metazoa; Arthropoda; Insecta; Ephemeroptera; Oligoneuriidae.